RNAcentral lists this ribosomal RNA (1983 nucleotides) under Staphylococcus aureus W68479. RNAcentral describes it as "bacterial LSU rRNA". It matches the Rfam family "Bacterial large subunit ribosomal RNA", at positions 938 to 2925 of the family's 2925-position model. Lineage: Bacteria; Bacillati; Bacillota; Bacilli; Caryophanales; Staphylococcaceae. The record is from RNAcentral.
ACCGAAUUCAGACAAACUCCGAAUGCCAAUUAAUUUAACUUGGGAGUCAGAACAUGGGUGAUAAGGUCCGUGUUCGAAAGGGAAACAGCCCAGACCACCAGCUAAGGUCCCAAAAUAUAUGUUAAGUGGAAAAGGAUGUGGCGUUGCCCAGACAACUAGGAUGUUGGCUUAGAAGCAGCCAUCAUUUAAAGAGUGCGUAAUAGCUCACUAGUCGAGUGACACUGCGCCGAAAAUGUACCGGGGCUAAACAUAUUACCGAAGCUGUGGAUUGUCCUUUGGACAAUGGUAGGAGAGCGUUCUAAGGGCGUUGAAGCAUGAUCGUAAGGACAUGUGGAGCGCUUAGAAGUGAGAAUGCCGGUGUGAGUAGCGAAAGACGGGUGAGAAUCCCGUCCACCGAUUGACUAAGGUUUCCAGAGGAAGGCUCGUCCGCUCUGGGUUAGUCGGGUCCUAAGCUGAGGCCGACAGGCGUAGGCGAUGGAUAACAGGUUGAUAUUCCUGUACCACCUAUAAUCGUUUUAAUCGAUGGGGGGACGCAGUAGGAUAGGCGAAGCGUGCGAUUGGAUUGCACGUCUAAGCAGUAAGGCUGAGUAUUAGGCAAAUCCGGUACUCGUUAAGGCUGAGCUGUGAUGGGGAGAAGACAUUGUGUCUUCGAGUCGUUGAUUUCACACUGCCGAGAAAAGCCUCUAGAUAGAAAAUAGGUGCCCGUACCGCAAACCGACACAGGUAGUCAAGAUGAGAAUUCUAAGGUGAGCGAGCGAACUCUCGUUAAGGAACUCGGCAAAAUGACCCCGUAACUUCGGGAGAAGGGGUGCUCUUUAGGGUUAACGCCCAGAAGAGCCGCAGUGAAUAGGCCCAAGCGACUGUUUAUCAAAAACACAGGUCUCUGCUAAACCGUAAGGUGAUGUAUAGGGGCUGACGCCUGCCCGGUGCUGGAAGGUUAAGAGGAGUGGUUAGCUUCUGCGAAGCUACGAAUCGAAGCCCCAGUAAACGGCGGCCGUAACUAUAACGGUCCUAAGGUAGCGAAAUUCCUUGUCGGGUAAGUUCCGACCCGCACGAAAGGCGUAACGAUUUGGGCACUGUCUCAACGAGAGACUCGGUGAAAUCAUAGUACCUGUGAAGAUGCAGGUUACCCGCGACAGGACGGAAAGACCCCGUGGAGCUUUACUGUAGCCUGAUAUUGAAAUUCGGCACAGCUUGUACAGGAUAGGUAGGAGCCUUUGAAACGUGAGCGCUAGCUUACGUGGAGGCGCUGGUGGGAUACUACCCUAGCUGUGUUGGCUUUCUAACCCGCACCACUUAUCGUGGUGGGAGACAGUGUCAGGCGGGCAGUUUGACUGGGGCGGUCGCCUCCUAAAAGGUAACGGAGGCGCUCAAAGGUUCCCUCAGAAUGGUUGGAAAUCAUUCAUAGAGUGUAAAGGCAUAAGGGAGCUUGACUGCGAGACCUACAAGUCGAGCAGGGUCGAAAGACGGACUUAGUGAUCCGGUGGUUCCGCAUGGAAGGGCCAUCGCUCAACGGAUAAAAGCUACCCCGGGGAUAACAGGCUUAUCUCCCCCAAGAGUUCACAUCGACGGGGAGGUUUGGCACCUCGAUGUCGGCUCAUCGCAUCCUGGGGCUGUAGUCGGUCCCAAGGGUUGGGCUGUUCGCCCAUUAAAGCGGUACGCGAGCUGGGUUCAGAACGUCGUGAGACAGUUCGGUCCCUAUCCGUCGUGGGCGUAGGAAAUUUGAGAGGAGCUGUCCUUAGUACGAGAGGACCGGGAUGGACAUACCUCUGGUGUACCAGUUGUCGUGCCAACGGCAUAGCUGGGUAGCUAUGUGUGGACGGGAUAAGUGCUGAAAGCAUCUAAGCAUGAAGCCCCCCUCAAGAUGAGAUUUCCCAACUUCGGUUAUAAGAUCCCUCAAAGAUGAUGAGGUUAAUAGGUUCGAGGUGGAAGCAUGGUGACAUGUGGAGCUGACGAAUACUAAUCGAUCGAAGACUUAAUCAA